RNAcentral lists this ribosomal RNA (253 nucleotides) under uncultured bacterium. Its description in RNAcentral is "partial 16S ribosomal RNA". It matches the Rfam family "Bacterial small subunit ribosomal RNA", at positions 524 to 776 of the family's 1533-position model. The record is from RNAcentral.
GACGUAGGGCGCGAGCGUUGUCCGGAUGUAUUGGGCGUAAAGAGCUCGUAGGCGGCUUGUCGCGUCGACUGUGAAAACUUGGGGCUCAACCCCAAGCUUGCAGUCGAUACGGGCAGGCUAGAGUUCGGUAGGGGAGACUGGAAUUCCUGGUGUAGCGGUGAAAUGCGCAGAUAUCAGGAGGAACACCGAUGGCGAAGGCAGGUCUCUGGGCCGAUACUGACGCUGAGGAGCGAAAGCGUGGGGAGCGAACAGG